Parasteatoda tepidariorum (common house spider) is the source of this 421-nucleotide long non-coding RNA. RefSeq lists it as uncharacterized. NCBI's taxonomy places the organism in Eukaryota, Metazoa, Arthropoda, Arachnida, Araneae, Theridiidae. The record is from RefSeq and is a predicted model, not a curated record.
UUGGGACCAAACGAGUUCUUCGUAUCUUUGCUUUGUUGUUGUGAGUUUUUUUUUAUGAGUUGGUAGGCUAGUGUAUUUUUACAGAACUUUACGGAUCCAAGAAGCUACUUGAAAAAUAGAUGUUUGAUACUUUACUUCACGAAGUUUAUGCUAGAUUAAAAAAACUAUUCCUUACAGAAGAAUGUUGGUCAUCAUUAUCCGAUUUAGAUUGGGCUUUGCAUUGAGUAUUUCCUCGUCAUAUAGUCUCCUUGGGGACCGUAUUUUCAAAGAUGUCCGUUGCUGACCUAGCUGCCAUGAGCAUCAGUCUGUCAAGAUGUCCAUUGCUGACCUAGCUGCCAUGAGGAUCGUAGUUUGUCAAGAUGUCCAUUGCUGACCUAGCUGCCAUGAGGAUCGUAGUUUGCCAAGAUGUCCAUUGCUGACC